Molecule: ribosomal RNA, 465 nt
Filed under: uncultured bacterium
Lineage: Bacteria
Description: partial 16S ribosomal RNA
Rfam family: Bacterial small subunit ribosomal RNA
Source: RNAcentral
CUACGGGUCGCAGCAGUGAGGAAUUUUGCGCAAUGGGGGAAACCCUGACGCAGCAACGCCGCGUGAGUGAUGAAGGCCUUCGGGUCGUAAAGCUCUGUCAAGUGGGAAGAACCUACCCGGAAAUAAUAAGUUCGGGUACUGACGGUACCACUGAAGGAAGCACCGGCUAACUCCGUGCCAGCAGCCGCGGUAAUACGGGGGGUGCAAGCGUUAUUCGGAAUCAUUGGGCGUAAAGGGCACGCAGGCGGCCUUGUAAGUCAGAUGUGAAAGCCCGGGGCUUAACCCCGGAAGUGCAUUUGAUACUAUCAGGCUUGAGUAUGGGAGAGGGAAGUGGAAUUCCUGGUGUAGAGGUGAAAUUCGUAGAUAUCAGGAGGAACACCGGUGGCGAAGGCGACUUCCUGGACCAAUACUGACGCUGAGGUGCGAAGGCGUGGGGAGCAAACAGGAUUAGAUACCCUCGUAGUC